RNA transcript from Peromyscus leucopus (white-footed mouse), 3385 nucleotides. It is a transcript of the gene named thioredoxin like 1, with no coding region annotated. The record is from RefSeq and is a predicted model, not a curated record. Lineage: Eukaryota; Metazoa; Chordata; Mammalia; Rodentia; Cricetidae. The transcript has 9 exons.
CGCGCCUUUCCCGUCUCGCUCCCCUCCCAGCCCGCGUCUCCUCCCCCUCGGCUCGUCUGCUCCCUGGCGUGACUCGGCACUCAGCGCUCCGGGACGACACGUCGUGGUCGCCGCUCCCGUCCAGGCCCCGGCCUCCCGCAGCCUCCCUCGGGCCUCUCUCGGGCUCUCUUCUCAAGUUUUGAAGCCGGAAGCGUCGCGGCCGCCCCGCCGGGUUGUCUUGUGAGGAUGGUGGGAGUGAAGCCGGUCGGGAGCGAUCCAGAUUUCCAGCCGGAGCUGAGUGGGGCGGGCUCCAGACUUGCUGUGGUCAAGUUCACCAUGAGAGGGUGUGGACCGUGUUUGAGGAUUGCUCCAGCAUUCAGUUCUAUGAGUAAUAAAUAUCCACAGGCAGUUUUCUUGGAAGUAGAUGUACAUCAGUGCCAGGGAACAGCUGCCACCAACAAUAUAUCAGCGACACCUACAUUUUUGUUUUUUCGAAACAAAGUGAGAAUUGAUCAGUAUCAAGGAGCAGAUGCUGUGGGACUAGAAGAGAAAAUCAAGCAGCAUCUGGAAAAUGAUCCUGGAAGCAAUGAGGACACAGACAUUCCGAAGGGCUACAUGGAUUUAAUGCCUUUUAUUAACAAAGCUGGUUGUGAAUGUCUUAAUGAAAGUGACGAGCAUGGCUUUGACAACUGUUUACGAAAAGACAUGUCCUUCUUGGAAUCUGACUGUGACGAGCAGCUACUUAUUACCGUGGCAUUCAAUCAACCUGUUAAGCUUUAUUCCAUGAAAUUUCAAGGACCAGAUAAUGGUCAGGGUCCAAAAUAUGUAAAAAUUUUUAUCAAUCUACCCCGGUCUAUGGAUUUUGAGGAGGCAGAAAGGAGUGAACCAACUCAAGCUCUGGAGCUGACAGAAGAUGACAUUAAAGAAGACGGCAUUGUUCCUCUUCGUUAUGUUAAAUUUCAGAAUGUUAACAGUGUAACUUUAUUUGUUCAGUCUAAUCAAGGUGAAGAAGAGACAACGAGAAUUUCAUAUUUUACUUUCAUUGGUACUCCAGUCCAGGCAACAAAUAUGAAUGACUUCAAACGACUUUUUUAAUACAACUCAAUGAACUAAACCAGAAGAUUUUUUUUAAUGAAGUAAUACACAGAUAGACUGUCUCCCUGUACCUCCCUUCCUUGCUUCAUUGCUCAUCUGUCACCUGCUCUCACCCUCCCCAUGUCCUUCCUCAGUUGUCGCUGCGAGAUUUCUUCAGCCUCAGCAUCUGGAUCAGCCUUCUUGUUACCUAGAUUGCCUCCACCACCUCCUCCUUCAGAUCUCAUCCCACUCAUGACUCUCAGUUGGCCCUUUAUUUUGCUUGCAAUUAGGUGCCUUAAUUUUCUUACCAUAUUAUGUUGCUCACAAGGCAGUUUUGUUUUUGUUUUUUUAACCUUCUGUUUCUUAUUUAAUUUUGUUCAGUACUUUGAGAAAUAAUUUUGGAGUAAAACUUAAAUUUUUUAAAAUGCUUUCAAGUUUAAUUAGUUGAGUAAUAUUUUCAUCCAUUUUAAAGUUUUAUAUUUUAGGAACAGGAGAGUUGUUUUGGAAACUAAAUAUAAGUUUGUUUUUUUUUUUUUUCAAGCUAGAGCUAGUGUUAUAUACUCCUUAGGUUUUAGUUGCAAAUUGUGAGUUUUCUCCUUGGAGCAUUAGCCACAAAAUCUGUUUGUGGUUGUUUUCUCUCAUGCUUUACCCAUGUGAGCUCAAGUCCAGCUGAAGGAUGUAUGGACUAAACAGGCUGGGUUAAAACACUAAUGCAGAAAGAAGAUCAAUGACUUCUUUACUGACUGAAAGUUUUUAACAUCUGAUUUUGAUGUACCUAGACUUUGGUUUAUCUGAGGUGUAACGUAAAGACUUAAGACAGAAUGAAAGAGCUUUAUGUUUGGGGUAGUUGGCAAAAAAGGAGAAAGCCAUUAGAUUACAAAAGACACUGGAAGACUUACUGCAGUCAGAUUUGCAGCUCCUGGAUAAUUGCUUGAUUCUCUUCGGAAACUGUUCAUCUUCAUUUGUUGCCAUUACCAGUAAAUCAUUGCUUUUAUUCAGAUGGCAUCACUAGUGUUUCUGUUGUAAUCUUGAUACAUGCAGUUGUAAAUAAAAGUCACUACUUUUGCCAAGCUUACAUUUUGUCAUUCUAUAUAAAUGCAUUCUCUCUCUCCUUUUUAUUUGAAUAUUGACUAACUUUUUGUUUUAGAAGAGCUCUGUCUGGAAUCACAUUGGCUAAAAGCUAGUCUGUCUCUAGAGGAACAGAAUGUUAGUGUUUUGAUACAUGGAUUUCAAUAGCUAACCAUGUUCGAGUAAGUACUGACUUGUAUUUUAUCAAAAGACAUUUGGGUAUCUAGGCUUUAUAAAUUUACUCAAAUUAUAAGCAGCCAGUAAUCUUCUGUCACUGGUAGUUAACAGGCCUACAAAUUUUUUGUUUUCCAGGGAGAGUCUUGCUACAUAGCAUAGGCUAGCCUCACCAUUGCUGUUUGUGCCUGCCUCCCAUAUGCUGGGAUCGUAGGCAUGGACCACCAAACCUGGUCUCAUGUCAAGAUUUUAACUCUUUUUGUAUAAACCUAAAAAUUAGAGUCAGCUAUUUUCUUUAAUAAUUAAGGUAUUGAUACUGAAUUCAGACAGUUGGCAAAAUAGAAUGAAUUUAUGGAAAAUUGGAAUUAGUAUCUAAUCUAAUAUUUAUCUAAAUUCACCAAACAUUUACUAUAAAUGUAUAGAUAGAGAACAUGAUUUAAGAUUGAAAAUGAGUUGUUCCAACUAUUUUAUUUGAAGAUCUUUUGCAAAAGGCUGGCUAAACAAAAUAUUUGUUCUUAUGGGCUUUUUUUAACACUUAUAAUUGGACCUUCGACUAAAAUAUUGGUAGAUUUAAUGCUUUAAAUGUUUAUUUUAUGUGUAUAAAAUGUGUUUGGCCUCCCAUGUAUUUAUAUUCAUUUAUAUGUAGUGCCCACCUGAGGCCGGAAGAGCAUCAGAACCCCAAGAACAGGAGUGAGAGCUGCCGUGGAGGUGAUGAGAACUGAACCCAGGUCUCUACAAGGCUGCUGCUCCAGCCCUAUAUACAUUUAAUUUUUAAUUCAGUGUUUUGAAAGCAUAUAUAAGACUAUAGCUUGUAAUUCAGUUUAUGUAUUUGAGGACAUUCUUAUCUAGAAAUAGUGCUGAGAUCUGCCCUUUUGAUGCUAAUGUAUUUCUACAUGGUCAUGAAAAAACUAUGGAAGUUAGUGUUGAAGUAGUCCUCUUUGAAACUUGUGUCAUUAAGUAACUGUGUUCAGUUCAUUUGUAUGUGAGUACAGUAACUGGUCUGUGGUGAUGUCUGUAUUUUAUGUAUUUCAGAGUUUUGUUGACUUAGAUCAAAAGGAAGACAAAAAAUAAAGGUUUAUAAUACUUGUAA